CCUACGGGAGGCAGCAGUGAGGAAUAUUGGUCAAUGGGCGGGAGCCUGAACCAGCCAAGCAGCGUGAGGGAAGAAGGUACAGUGUAUCGUAAACCUCUUUUGUCAGGGAACAAAGGCGGGGACUAGUCCCCGGAUGAGGGUACCUGAAGAAAAAGCAUCGGCUAACUCCGUGCCAGCAGCCGCGGUAAUACGGAGGAUGCGAGCGUUAUCCGGUUUUAUUGGGUUUAAAGGGUGCGCAGGCGGUCUGUUAAGUCAGCGGUCAAAGCCCGGGGCUCAACCCCGGCCCGCCGUUGAAACUGGCAGUCUCGAGUGGGAGAGAAGUAGGCGGAAUGCGCGGUGUAGCGGUGAAAUGCAUAGAUAUCGCGCAGAACUCCGAUUGCGAAGGCAGCAUGCCGGCUCCACACUGACGCUGAGGCACGAAAGCGUGGGUAUCGAACAGGAUUAGAUACCCGGGUAGUC
Molecule: ribosomal RNA, 459 nt
Filed under: uncultured bacterium
Lineage: Bacteria
Description: partial 16S ribosomal RNA
Rfam family: Bacterial small subunit ribosomal RNA
Source: RNAcentral